This 73-nucleotide transfer RNA is filed under the name Clostridiales bacterium. RNAcentral's name for it is "tRNA-Ala". It matches the Rfam family "tRNA". From Rfam's summary of the family: Transfer RNA (tRNA) molecules are approximately 80 nucleotides in length. Their secondary structure includes four short double-helical elements and three loops (D, anti-codon, and T loops). Lineage: Bacteria; Bacillati; Bacillota; Clostridia; Eubacteriales. The record is from RNAcentral.
GGGGGAUUAGCUCAGUUGGGAGAGCGCAUGACUGGCAGUCAUGAGGUCAGGAGUUCGAGCCUCCUAUUCUCCA